Molecule: ribosomal RNA, 482 nt
Filed under: uncultured bacterium
Lineage: Bacteria
Description: partial 16S ribosomal RNA
Rfam family: Bacterial small subunit ribosomal RNA
Source: RNAcentral
AUUGAACGCUGGCGGCAUGCCUUACACAUGCAAGUCGAACGGUAACAGGUCUUCGGAUGCUGCCGAGUGGCGAACGGGUGAGUAAUACAUCGGAACGUGCCCGAUCGUGGGGGAUAACGAGGCGAAAGCUUUGCUAAUUCCGCAUACGAUCUACGGAUGAAAGCGGGGGAUCUUCGGACCUCGCGCGGACGGAGCGGCCGAUGGCAGAUUAGGUAGUUGGUGGGAUAAAAGCUUACCAAGCCGACGAUCUGUAGCUGGUCUGAGAGGAUGAUCAGCCACACUGGGACUGAGACACGGCCCAGACUCCUACGGGAGGCAGCAGUGGGGAAUUUUGGACAAUGGGCGAAAGCCUGAUCCAGCCAUGCCGCGUGCAGGAUGAAGGCCUUCGGGUUGUAAACUGCUUUUGUACGGAACGAAAAGCCUCUUUCUAAUAAAGAGGGGUCAUGACGGUACCGGAAGAAUAAGCACCGGCUAACUACGUG